CCCCGGGCCUGACAGGAACCGGGCUGGCCUCGGGACAACUCAGAGUCCCGCACCGGAACGGAAGGGGGAGGGUCGAGUUAAGAGACCUGCGGCACCUUAAGACACCUAUCCUGCAGCAGAAAAUUGUAAUCGUUUUAUUCUCUGGCACACUUCAAGACAUCUGUGAGUGAAUUGCCCACGCUUUGUUAUGUAAUUCCUCUCCGAAGAAGGAUCUCCAAAGAUUCGACACAAAUUACGGAUUCUUUGUCUCUCCUUGGCUCUGCCCUAAGCUGACAGCAUUCUGUCACAUGAUCUACUAAAUCAAGAAAGAUGUUCAUUUAUC
This is a long non-coding RNA of Neogale vison (American mink), 322 nucleotides long. RefSeq lists it as uncharacterized. The record is from RefSeq and is a predicted model, not a curated record. The transcript is spliced from 3 exons. Lineage: Eukaryota; Metazoa; Chordata; Mammalia; Carnivora; Mustelidae.